Trifolium pratense (red clover) is the source of this 3686-nucleotide long non-coding RNA. RefSeq lists it as uncharacterized. Lineage: Eukaryota; Viridiplantae; Streptophyta; Magnoliopsida; Fabales; Fabaceae. The transcript has 7 exons. The record is from RefSeq and is a predicted model, not a curated record.
AGGUUUAUGUGCAUAACAUGGUCACUGAAGACGGUCUGGUGAGUUGUUCAUCUGAAUUUGAAGCUGCAAUACAGAAUGGGGAAAGAACUUUAUUAAGGGUUUUAUGUGAUAAAAAGACUCAGGUAUCAGAAUCUGAGGAGGAAAGGGAAACAUGCGGCUUUUUGAAGGUUAUGUUUGAAGAUGAUGGAACUGCAAGAACAAAGCUUCUCACACACCUUGGUUUUAACGCACCAAGUGAAACAAAAGACACAGUUAGUGAUGAUCUUUCUCAGGAAGUCGAUGCUAUUGGACUUGAGGACACAGCUGUUAAUAACAUAGAACAUGUGGCUACAGCGUGCUUUAGUUGUUGGGGACUACAAGGGGGCAAUUUCUCAAUGCAUAUCUGCUAAUAAAUGGGCUGAUGCUUUAGUUAUUGCUCAUGUGGGUAGUACCUCCUUGUGGGAAAGUACACGGUAUCAAUACCUUAAGAAGAACCGAUCACCAUACAUAAAGAUUGUUUCAGCGAUCGUGAGCAGUGAUCUCUUUGUCAUAUUGAAGUGGUGAAAUUUAAGAUCAUGAUGCAAUAUGUGGAUGGUUUAUCUGUAACAACCGAACUCUAAUUAAUAUUAACUUAUUAAUUAGAAUUUCUUCAAAAAUCUAUUAAUUAGAAUCUCCAAUUAGAAGAUAAAAUGUUGUUUUGUGAGGAAAAUAAGAAAGAAUGACAUGCUAGUAAACAUUUAGAAGAUUGGAGCUAGUUUGUAAAUGAGUGUAUAAGUAGUCAUGAAUUGAAGAGAGAGCAACCCAUUAUCCCCUUCUCUGUUCAACGAAGCCAAUACCACCUCAUAGCAUGCAAAAUCCAAAAUUUCUUCUAUUAUCCUCAUUACAAGCUCACACAUGUAGAUUCCACUGUAACCAUCUCACAUAAAAGAAAGAAACCCAUUUUAUUCCUUUCCCUCCUCUCUGUACCAGUCGAAACUCUUCCCAAAUCUCAUUUUCUUCAAAUAUAGAAUGCUGCGAAACUCUAUUUUUCCCUUUGAUUCUCAACUGGCUGGAACCUUAGUGCUAUGGGUUAAAAGUCCCAAUUUCUUUCAAUUCUCUAUUUUAGAGUUUAUAUAAGUGAGAUUCUCAAUCAAAUUUAAAUUCGGUUUGCAGCUGGGAGUUGGAAAUUUGGAACAACAGGUUGGAAAUUCGGUUCAAUGUAGUCUUUGUUGUACAUGCAUGGAAAUGGAGGUACUCAUAUGGAGUGGUGAUUGGAAUUAAUUAAAUCAAGAGAGUUGCAAUGUACCUGAAGAGGUGCUGAUACCUUUUGUUUCUCGUGGCAAGUCAGGGGUUGUUUAAUGAGAUUUUAUUUGUAAACUAGUUAGUGGUGGAUUUGGCUACUCAAAGUUCUUGGUUGGAUUAAUAAGAAGCUAAAGUUUCAUCACCAAGUUCAUCAAUUAUGAGUUUGCUCAGAGAUGAAUGGACUAUGCUUUGCAACACACUUGCUUCAAAACUCACAGGGGCAGGCAAUACAUUAGCUGCAACUCUUUGUUUUAUACUCCCUCCAUUUCUUUUAAUUUGUCGUUUUAGAAAAAAAAAAUUUGUUUCAAAUUCCUUGUCGUUUUGAUAAUUUAAGGUUAUAUUUUGUCUAUUAUAUCCCAUGUAAAUUCCAAAUAUUCAGUAGUUAUUGAAACCAUAAAAGAUUUAAUAUAUAUUGAAUUUUUUAAAAAAAAAUUUGGUACAUAAUAUAUAUUAAAUUUUUAAAAUUUGCUGCUUUUCCACAAUUUGUGCUUGAGUCUAGAUUUGUGCUGGGGAAAUCUUAUUUUGACAUUCUUCAGGUAAGAUUGAUACUCUUAUUACGUGUAAAUAUGUAUAACUAUAAUAUAAACCUCCCACUUACCAAUAGUACUUGACAACUGACAAUUAUGCAUAUUGUUAGGAUUUGAUGGAAAAAAAACUAUUGUUCUUGCCUUGGCAACUGGGCAGAAGCGCUUUAGUGCCUCUCUGUGCAAGCUUGUUGAGAAAUAUGCUGAAAUCUUAGCAAGUCAAGGGUUGCUGACCACAAUGGAGUAUCUAAAACUUUUGGGUUCUGAAGAACUUUCAACAGAACUUGUAAUAUUGAAGGACCGAAUUGCACUGUCUACGGAACCUGAGGAAGACUUGAAAACCACUGCUUUUGAAAAUUCUCAAUCACAUGGUGGAUCCUUUUAUGGGGCUGAUAAUUCCAAUUAUAAUAUGAAUUAUUAUCAGUUUUGUAAGGGAUGGAUGCUUCAAUGACCUUCAAAGGAAAAUGCAUUAUGAAUGCUUUCGAAGCACAUUGUGGAAAAAUUGGAUGGUGGCUUUCAAAGCAGAGCUAUUUUAAUAUGAAUUUUAUUGUCUUUUUAUGACCGUAAUUGUGAAACUGUCACUAGUUGGUAUGGUAUACAUGAGCUCACUAACUCCAAAUUUGACAGUAAGAUGGAUAUUCUUUGUUCCAUGGUUUUUGCAAGGGAUUGCCUUGGUGGCCCAAAAACGCUGGAUGAUUGAUGCCUUAAUGUGAAAGCUGGUUAUUGCCUUAAAUGCAAUUUUAAUAUAAAAUUUCAUAGCCUAUUGAUAAGGGUUUCAAGAGAAUAUUUCAAGGAAGAAACGAAUCAACUAAAGGAAAGUACAAAGAAACUAACUCUUUGGUAUAGUCUCUCUGGUAUGCAGCCUACAAACUUGUUGUGAGUGAUGACAAUUCUUUCAGACAAUAUUAUUAUGUAACAGGUAUGCUCUGUGCCGAGAACCCUGAAAGUUUGUUUGCUAUGGAUGAUGUCUUAUUGUGAAAGCUAGUUGAUGAGAAGGAAUUCUUAGGUGCUGAGCUAUUCAAGUUUUUGUUUUAUUUCAUUAUGAUUGUUUGUAUUGCUUUUAUGAUUUCAAUCAUUGUUGAAUUAUUUAGAUUCAUAUAGCAACAUAUUCUUAUACAUAGAGUAACUUUGUUCAACCGUAGUUCACUAGAUGUGCAGUUCUGUAAUAGCAGGCUGUCAUCCUUUUAGAUUGAUUAUGAGACCAUCGUCCCAUAGAUGUGGAGAGACUCUAGAGAGAUGAUUGAAGCUUUGGUUGGAGGAUAGAAACUAGGGGACAAUAACAGAUUGUUACGGUUCCCUUUGAUAAGAACUGGAACAGAUUGGGUGAAGGAGAAUUAUUCGUCCCCGGAGUUUAUUAAAUUUGAAAAGAAAAGAUAAGAUACACUGAGGAAGAUACUCCCCACUACUGGUGAUUCCCAUCACUAAACAAAAGCCUAAAGAAAAAGAUCCUUCUAAAGGGGGAGGAGACUUUCUGUACAAGGGAAUAGGGCCAUAAGGGAGGUCUUUUAGUAACUGACUCCUAAAACCAAGGUCAGCUAACAACCCCUAACUACCUUGGUAACUAACUUUUUAAAACAGAAAACAAACUAAUAACAUAACAACUAAUACAAAGGGUAUUUCUAGAAUUUUUCUUAACAUAAACUCUUAGAGGUUGGGCACCUAAAUUAGUGGUCCUAUCACAGGUGUUGGGAACUUUCUAAUGAAUCCCACCUUUCAAGGUUGAGUUGUUAACCAGGCAGGCUUUUUAUGUCUGAAGUUAAUGUGGGAAAAAGUUUUCUUAAUAUGGUAAUUCUAUGAUUUAAGUUGCCUUUUCCCCCUAUAUGUAUGGUGUAGAAUAUAUGUAAGUGUGCUUCGGAAUGAAGGAAAAACAAGUGAUUCAACCAUUUUAUGUAUGGUAUAAUG